Cajanus cajan (pigeon pea) is the source of this 1578-nucleotide non-coding RNA. The record is from RefSeq and is a predicted model, not a curated record. Lineage: Eukaryota; Viridiplantae; Streptophyta; Magnoliopsida; Fabales; Fabaceae.
UUUCGGUGCAAGACACAGAAUUUCAACUAUCUAAACUAUUAAGAACAAUUCCGGAUGAUGCAUAUGGUGUAAAUUUUACUGAAUUUGAAAUAAGAUCAGAUACAUCACAAAUUUCAAAUCAAUACCAGGGGUCUUAUUUGAUUGGAAUUGGAUGUUACCGUGCAGUCUUCAAUACUCUCAUUGAUAGCAUAUCUAAGGGAUUGACAACCAACGAGUCUUGUGAUAUUUUUCUCCCUGGUGACAAUUAUCCUUACUGGUUGGCUCAUACGGGUGAGGGACAUUCAGUGUAUUUUACUGUGCCCAAGGAUUGUCGCAUAAAGGGAAUGACUUUGUGUGUUGUUUAUUUAUCAACCCGCGAAAACAUGGCAACUAAAUGUCUAGUUAGUGUUUCAAUGGUUAAUUACACAAAGUGCACCAUGCAGAUACACAAGCAAGACACAGUAAUUUCAUUUGAUUGGCAGGGCAUAAUAUCACAUUUGGGACCUGGAGACAAGGUAAAAAUUUUUGUGACUCUUGGGAAUGGAUUGGCAAUCAAGAAGACAGCUGUCUAUCUAAUGUGUGAUGAAUCAAUUGGCAUGGAAAUAAAGCCUUCUCCCAAGACAAAAAUGGAAAUGAAGCCUUCUCCCAAGACAAAAAUGGAAAUAAAGCCUUCUCCCAAGACAAAAAUUCCUUCGAACCAAAAGGAUAAAAAGCCUUCUCCCGAGACAAAAAUUGCUAGGAACCAAAAGGGCCUAUCAAGUGUUUUUGCUAGGCGGUAGCAGUAGUUAGAAUAAUGAAGGUCUCACUUUGACUUGGACUAUGUGAAACUUAUAAAUACCCUUGUACAUACGAUUAGGGGGAUUCAUUUUUUGGUAAUUGAUAAUAAACUGAUUUUACAGUAUGAAGGGGGUCUUUCUUCCCUUGGCAGAGCAGAAUAAUAGACUUUCUCUCUGAUUCUCUUCCUUCUCCCAUCUCUCUUCUAUUUCAAUUCUGAAUCUUGACUGUUGGGAUCUAUCAGAAAAUGUCAUUGUUAGUUUUAUAAAGAUAGGAGAGGUUUUAAAUUUUAAUCAAUUUUUACUGGGCUCGCCAAAAGUCAGUCUAGGAUUCCCAUACUUCUCGGAGAGAGGAGGGAAGAACUUAUGAAACACAUAUAUAAAGGAGAAAUUCAUCAUAAAAUCUCGAUAAGAGUUCAUUUCCCAUUGUGCUAGGCCUCGUGGUGUCUAGACAAGGUGUGUGAUACUGUGAUGCAGUAGAAUAGUAGCAAUAUUUGGUGGAUGACAGGUAUUCUAACCACAAUUUGAAUCAACAGACUUUGGGUAUUCAUAGGGCUGAAAUUUCUGAAAUCAUUUUCAUCUUCGAGUAGUAUUGGUAUGCACAACAUGCCUAUAUUUUUUCAGAAAAUAUACGGUUAAUACCUUCAAUUAUAAUUGAUGCCCUCUUGCUGCAAGUAUUAUCUGUGUGGAAUCGAAAAGAUGGAAGAAUUGGAAAUCAACCAUAUUUUGAUUUUGCAAAGGAAUUUUUCAAGGAGGUCAAGAGGUGGCACCUUGAAGGAACUAAGAGGAAUGUGCUAGACAUGAAAAUUUGGACCAGUCAAAGCCC